Molecule: long non-coding RNA, 1222 nt
Organism: Daphnia magna
Lineage: Eukaryota; Metazoa; Arthropoda; Branchiopoda; Diplostraca; Daphniidae
Exons: 7
Source: RefSeq, a predicted model, not a curated record
AAAAUCGGGAUUUUGGUCAAAUCCGACUUUUGGCUGAUCCUACGAGCUACGACAGUUAUACCUACAAAUAUUUAGCGUUUCGUGCUGCAAUUAGUAGUUGAUAUUCUAGGAUGUUAUGCCUAAAAUUGGAAUUCAGCUAUCAGAGAUUAGCAACAUUCAAACGGAAACUGUAGAUGGCGUUGAUGUGCGUCUAUGAUGAAGAUUUUGAGUGACAAGUUAAAUGGGUGUUUGUUACGUUACCCUAUUAUGUGUUUCAAAGGAUUUUUCGUCAAAAAAUUUACGAUUGCUUUUGUAUGUGGUGGUGUUGCGCCUUGUCAGCUACGCCAGCUGCUGAACCAGUAACCUGCAUUCCUGCUAUCAAUGUACCACAAAAGAUCCUGACACUUUAAGAAGGCAACUAUUGCUUACAUGAAGAUCACCAUCCAGUUCAAGCACUAUUAAUGGACCUCAAGCCUUUCGUUUAAGCUUAGUGAUGUGUUCUCUCAUCAAUCAACGACAGAGUCUUCAUCUACUUUGUGUUGCUAACCAUCAGCCCUCAGCAUCCCAGGUAUCCAGAUUUCCAAGUUUCUCUGAUUAGCCAACCAUCAUCCAUACCCUUCAGCUCUUCAUUGUGGCUUCUCUUCCUCUUAUCUUAGUCUGCUGAAUGCCAACAUUGAAUAAUGUUCAUCAUCAUUGCCUUUCCAUGAAAAUUUUCAUUAUUAAUCCUGCUGUUCUUCUCACCGUUACUUAGCCAUCUCACAUGGAUAGGCUUUAACAACAUCUCCAUUUUUUGGAUUGUAAAUAUUCGUUUUCCUUCGGUACAACACUGCCGUUUUGACAAUUUCGGUAGUUUCGCUCCCAGUUGACCACACGCAACUACAUUUUCUUCGUCUUCCUGUCGUUGUUGUCUACGACUUCACCUCAUCGCUGUCUUCGUUGACAUCUUCGCCUUUAUCUCCGUCUCAUCGUCUUGGUCGUCUUCGCCUUCAUCUCCGUCUCGUCGUCUUCGCCUUCAUCUCCGUCUCGUCGUCUUCGCCGUCUUUGUCUACGCCAUUACCUCGUCGCCGGCUUCUUCUUCGCCCUUCAUGUAGGGAAUUCACCGUGGGUCGUCGCUCUGGUAUUGUUUUAUUUUGCAUUGUUAUGUUUAAGUUAACCCGUUGGCUGCCACCCCGUUUGCGUCCCAUUUUUGUUGUAGCUUGUAGGGACCGGCCGCAAUGGCCUUCGCCGCAAGGCGCCUUAGGCA